Equus caballus (horse) is the source of this 3997-nucleotide long non-coding RNA. Lineage: Eukaryota; Metazoa; Chordata; Mammalia; Perissodactyla; Equidae. The record is from Ensembl.
GUUGCGUCAUUUCCGGUCACCAGCCCCGGGCGCGGUAGCCCUAGCCCGCCUUAGCUGUAGGGGUUCUCUGGAUAGAGGCCUCAGUUUGGAGGUUAAAAGUACAGCUCAAAUGCCAGGGAUGGAGGUGAGCCUCCAAGGAAAUUGCACCUCUGAAGAGAAGUCGUAGUCUGAAGAGAAGCUUUAGCUUCCAGCUCCUUUCAGACAUCUUCUGAACGGCUGUUUGGAGGAAAAGCUGGUAGUGCUGGAUCAGUCAACAGACAAAUAGGACAAAGCUGACUUAGAGGUCCUCAGAGCAUUGGCACUGGCAAGAUCAGAGAGAUGGGGAAUUACUUGUGCUGAAGCAAUUCCAGACCCUCUUGAGCAAGGAAUCUAAAAUUCGUCUGAAAAUAAUGAAAACUCUGUGUCUCUGGAAGAUUUAACCCAAAUGAGGAGAUAAGUAUGACUUACAGAAAGCAUACACUAAUGGACUAGACUCAGAAGAAGGCAGUCGGCAAAGUGAAAGAUUCUCCCUCCCCUCACAAUGGUGCACAAAGGAGAGAGUCUGGCUACCAUGCUUCUGACUGCAAGGCACCAGCCAUCUUGGAUUAUGAAGUCAAGUUCAUACAUGAUGGACCAACAAGAUAGAAGAGCCUGGGUCCCUGAUGCUUUGGAAUGCCAUGGCAGCCCUCACCACCUACCUAGACUUUUUGUGUGGUCCCUGGUUAAGUCACUGUUAUUUUGAGGUUUUGGUUAGUUAUAACUGAACUGAGUCUUAAUUAAUGAAAGUAUAUUUCCAACAAAGUGAAUAAUACAAUCAAAUGCUAAGAAAUGAGACUAGUUCAGCUGAUAAAUGAGAAGUUCAGCUGGUAGAAAUAAAGCCGUUGUGCUAGAAAAUAGAAGAAAAUAAGACUAAAUUAUAUGGUAGUCUAGAUUGUGACAAAAGAAGCACCAAUGGGCCAGCUGAGUAAUUUGUAAUUUAUCUUGCAUAUAAACUAGAGCCAAUGGAGUAUUUUUUAAAAGAAAUAGGCCAUAGUGAAUGUAAUGUUUGAGAAUGAAAUUAUAACCAAAUGGAUAUAUGAGGUAAAGGAAAGUGAAGAAUUGAAAAUGGUAUGCUGGUAUCCUUGAGAAAUGGAGUCCUGAGGAAGAAGGGACAUAUUUAGGAUUGAGUUAGUUCUGAAGAUAUUGCAUUUGAGAUGAUAAGAACAUGAAGUGAACAUGGUUUAUGGGUAACUGAAGAUUCAGAACUAGAGCUUGAGGUGUCAGUUCUUUAUUUAGAGGAACAGUGCUAAUAGCUGAAACAAAAAGAAUAUAGAGAGAAUUGCCAUGCCCAAGGCCUGAGCUUUGAGAAAUACUCCCAUAAAAAGCAUAAAAGGUAGAAGGUAUCAUGAAAGAUCAGAGAGAUAGAAGAGCCAGAAUAAAAGGAAGGGGGAUGUAUGGACAAGGAGUGAGUUUCAUGACAUGAAGGAUGUCAUCAAAUCCAGCAGAAAAACUGAAAAGAAUGAGGACAAAGAUAGUGGACAAAGAUAGUGGGUUUAGGUGUAGCAAAGGGAGUAAUUGUGAUCUCAAAGGCUGAAUCUCAGAAAUAGCCUGGGAAAACUAAAGAUUUGCAGUUCCACAAGGAAGGAAUUUUUGAGUCUUCAAGAAAAGAAAUCCUAGCAGGCUGUAGUGUAUAGAAGGAGAGACUAAAGUAUAAUUGGGGCUUUUGCUAGUUGGUCCCAAGCUUAUUUAUGUGGUUAAUGAGAUCAUUUACUCACAGUGAGGGUGGAGUGUGGAGGAGAUUGAAGAAAAAUCUGAAUGAUACCCAUCAGAGAAGAGAAUAACCUAGGGAGUCCAUGUAAUACAAAUAGUAGUGUUGUCUAACAGCAGUGAGGGAUAUAUUGAAGAUGGUCUGAGAGAACUUUUAUUUAUUUAUUUUUACCAAGUCAAUAUAUCAAUUGAGAAUGCUUUUGGCUACAAAUAACAGAACAUUUAAAGUAAUAGCUUAAACUAUAGUCUACAGCAGAGUAUGGCAAAGUAGGGCCUAUAGGCCAAAUCUGGCCUGUUUAUGUAAAUAAAAUUUUAAUGGAACACAGCCAUGCCAUUUGUUUACAUAUUGUCUGUGGCUGCUAGAGCACUAUAAUGGCAGAAUUGAGUAAUUGGGACAUAGACUGGAUGGCCUGUAAAGCCUAAAUUAUUUACUGUCUUUUCCUUUACAGAAGACAUUUGCCACCGCUGGUCUAGACUAGAGGAACAUUUAGUGCCUACUCAACCAGAAGUCUAAAGAUAGACAGAUUCAAGGUUGAUUCACUGGUUCAAUAAUAUAAGGAAAUUAUUAUCCCUGCAUAUCUCUUCCUUAUUUCUUAUUGUUGCAAGAUGGCUGCCACAGCUCCAACCAUCAUUCUACAGUGUUUAAUGCAGGAAGAAAAGGCAAGAGAUAUGUGGCAGAUGGCCAUUUUCUCCUAAAGUGAUUUUUUUCCUUUUAUUAAGGAGCAAAAACUUCUAAGAAGUGCCCAUCAGUGCCCUUAACUUUUCAUUGGCCCAAACCAUGAGACACUGAGAAAUAUUACUGCAUAGAAUACACAAGUGAUGAUAGUUCUCUUUCCCUAAGAUCCAGUAGGUCAUAUUUCCAGUGUUUAACGGGUGAGGAGAGGAAAAGGAACACACAGAGGAGAUAUAGGAAGAGUAGUCCUUCAGCUACAAGAAGAAGUAGAAGUGAGAAUUGUUGAGGAAGACAAGGAAGUGGAGAGUUAAAAGAAAGAGGAGCAACCAAGCAGAGAUUCUAUAAGAUAAGGACAAAAAAUGCCCACAAUAUUUGGCAAUUGAGUGGCCGCUGCUGACUUUAGUCUUUGCCGCAGUCUUUUAGACUUUGAGAGCAGAAGUCAGACUGAAGUUGAAAGUAAGGAAGUCAAACAGUGUAAGAAAGGGGAAAAAAAAGACUGAAUAAAUAUUAACCAGAAGAAAGAUAUGGGUUAAAGAAAGGGAAUUUUAGGUUGAGAAAUGACCUGAAUAUUUUUAAAGGACAAGGAGAAAGAGCCAUUGAGAUGAGAGAGUUGAGGAUGCAAAGAAGAGACUGACUGCUGGAGUGAGAUUCCAAAGGAGACGAGAUGAGGUCAGAGGUGCAGAAGAUAAGAUUAGCCUGGGGCAGGAGGGAUGCUUAAUCUCUGGGGUUGGAGGAAAACAGGUGAAGCGAUGUGUAGAAAGAAACAAAAGUACCAGUUUGGGUGCUUUCAUAUGCUAGUAACUGAAUACUAAUGAGAGGUAUCUUUAGCAGGAAUUUUUAAAUCAUACACAAGAAAUCCAGAGGUAGUUACAGCGUUGAUUAAUUCAGCCACUAAAUGUGGAAAGUUCUGGAAUGGCUUCUCUAUGAUUCUCUUAGCUUUCUCCUCUUAGUUGCAAGAUGCGUGCCACAGAUUCAAGCCCCAUGUCCUCUCAUAACAAUGUUCAAAGGUGGGCCGGGGUAAGAAUUCUUAUCUUUCCCUGUCUGUCUUUUUUUUCUUUUGUUCUUUUUAUUUUAAUGUUUCAAACCUAUUAAAAAUUUGCAAUAAUAAUGCGAGGAACUCCCAUAUGCUCUUCAUCUAGAUUCAGCAAUUGUUUACAUUUUGCAUCAUUUGCUUUAUAAUUCUGUGUGUGUAUAAUUUUUUUCUGAAUCAUAUCUAAGCAUGUUGCCAGCCCGAUGCUUUUUUUCACUCCCAUAUACUUCUAUGUAUUUCCUAAAAACAAGGAUAUUCUCUUACAGUCAUAGUAUAAUAUCAAAAUGUGGAAAAUUAACAUUGAUACAAUAUAAUUAUUUAAUCCACAAUCCAUAUUCAAAUUUCUCCUUGGUUGUACCACUAAUGUCCUAUAUAGCUACCUUUUCCCCUUGUCCAGGAUCCAGGCUGGACUCACUUGUAUUAAGUUGCCAUGUAUUUAGGCUCCUUUGGAAUAGUUCCUUAGGUUACUUAGCUUCUUUGUCUUUCUUGUUUUAACAUGUUUGAAGAGCACAGGCCAGUAAUUUUGUAGACUGUCCCUCAAUUUGGAUCUUCCUGAUAUUUCCUCAUGA